Molecule: ribosomal RNA, 57 nt
Filed under: Hypholoma tuberosum
Lineage: Eukaryota; Fungi; Basidiomycota; Agaricomycetes; Agaricales; Strophariaceae
Description: partial 28S ribosomal RNA
Source: RNAcentral
UGACCUCAAAUCAGGUAGGACUACCCGCUGAACUUAAGCAGAUCAAUAAGCGGAGGA